ACUCCUACGGGAGGCAGCAGUGGGGAAUAUUGGACAAUGGGGGAACCCUGAUCCAGCCAUGCCGCGUGUGUGAAGAAGGCCUUUUGGUUGUAAAGCACUUUAAGCGAGGAGGAGGCUUACCUGGUUAAUACCUGGGAUAAGUGGACGUUACUCGCAGAAUAAGCCAGCCGCAUAACUCUGUGCCAGCAGCCGCGGUAAUACAGAGGGUGCAAGCGUUAAUCGGAUUUACUGGGCGUAAAGCGCGCGUAGGUGGCUAAUUAAGUCAAAUGUGAAAUCCCCGAGCUUAACUUGGGAAUUGCAUUCGAUACUGGUUAGCUAGAGUAUGGGAGAGGAUGGUAGAAUUCCAGGUGUAGCGGUGAAAUGCGUAGAGAUCUGGAGGAAUACCGAUGGCGAAGGCAGCCAUCUGGCCUAAUACUGACACUGAGGUGCGAAAGCAUGGGGAGCAAACAGGAUUAGAUACCCUGGUAGCUACGAGU
RNAcentral lists this ribosomal RNA (476 nucleotides) under uncultured bacterium. Its description in RNAcentral is "bacterial SSU rRNA". It matches the Rfam family "Bacterial small subunit ribosomal RNA", at positions 335 to 800 of the family's 1533-position model. The record is from RNAcentral.